RNAcentral lists this ribosomal RNA (668 nucleotides) under uncultured organism. Its description in RNAcentral is "bacterial SSU rRNA". It matches the Rfam family "Bacterial small subunit ribosomal RNA", at positions 741 to 1422 of the family's 1533-position model. The record is from RNAcentral.
UGCCCCUGAGAGACGAAAGCGUGGGGAGCAAAACGGAUUAGAUACCCGUGUAGUCCACGCCGUAAACGAUGGAUACUAGAUGUUCGGGGAUUCGACCCCCUGGGUGUCACAGCUAACGCGUUAAGUAUCCCGCCUGGGAAGUACGGCCGCAAGGCUAAAACUCAAAGGAAUAGACGGGGAUCCGCACAAGCGGUGGAGCGUCUGGUUUAAUUUGAUAGUGAGCAAUGGACCUCACCAAGGUUUGACAUCCUAUGACAACCCUGGAAACAGGGCUUCCUUCGGGCAUAGUGACAGGUGCAGCAUGGUCAGUCGUCAGUUCGUGCCGUGAGGUGUUCCGUUAAGUCGGGAAACGAACGAAACCCUCGUCGCAUGUUACAAAUUUCAUGCGAGACUGCCCGGGUCAACCGGGAGGAAGGCGGGGAUGACGUCAGAUCAGCAUGGCCCUUAUACCUUGGGCUACACAGGCGCUACAAUGUCCAGCAACCAAGGGUUGCGGUCCCGCGACGGUGAAGCUAAUCCCAUAAAGCCGGUCCAAGUUCGGAUUGGAGGCUGCAACUCGCCUCCAUGAAGUUGGAAUCGCUAGUAAUCGUGGAUCAGCCAUACCACGGUGAAUACGUUCCCGGAUCUUGUACUCACCGCCCAUCACACCAAGAGAGUUGGUAGCUCCU